AAGUCGUAACAAGGUCUCCGUAGGGUGAGUUUUGAACGACUUCUAACUAAUAUUGAAUGAAUGCUAACUAGAUUUCCAGUGAACCUGCGGAGGGAUCAUUACUGAGUGAGGGUCUCUCGACCCGACCUCCAACCCUUUGCGAUUAAACCUCUGUUGCCUCGGGGGCGACCCGGCCCGCGUCUAGGGCCCCCGACGGACCAUUUCAAAACACUGCAUCUUUGCGUCGGAUUGAAUAAAGUAAAUGAUUAAAACUUUCAACAACGGAUCUCUUGGUUCUGGCAUCGAUGAAGAACGCAGCGAAAUGCGAUAAGUAAUGUGAAUUGCAGAAUUCAGUGAAUCAUCGAGUUUUUGAACGCACACUGCGCCCCUUGGUAUUCCGGGGGGCAUGCCUGUUCGAGCGUCAUUAUCACCUCUCAAACUUCGGUUUGGCGUUGGGCUUUAUAGUUAUAGAUCCCCUAUAAUUGGCCUCAGAGAUAGUGACGGCGUCCUAGAAGGAACCGGUACGAGGAGCUUCUAACCAAGCAUGUACACGGCAGGACUCUAGGGUGCUGGUCUUAAUACACUGUUCUUCGGAGCAUAUUUUUCAAGUGUUGACCUCGGAUCAGGUAGGAAUACCCGCUGAACUUAA
Molecule: ribosomal RNA, 628 nt
Filed under: uncultured fungus
Lineage: Eukaryota; Fungi
Description: eukaryotic LSU rRNA
Rfam family: 5.8S ribosomal RNA (bases 250-403)
Source: RNAcentral